GCUGGGCGUGGUGGUGCACGCCUGUAAUCCCAACUACUCAGGAGGCUGAGGCAGGAGAGUUGCUUGAACCCAGGAAGUAGGGGUUGCAGUGAGCUGAGAUUGAGCCACUGCACUCAAGCCUGGGUGACAGAGCGAGACUUUGUCUCAA
This is an unclassified non-coding RNA of Macaca fascicularis (crab-eating macaque), 148 nucleotides long. It matches the Rfam family "Metazoan signal recognition particle RNA". Rfam says of the family: The signal recognition particle (SRP) is a universally conserved ribonucleoprotein. It is involved in the co-translational targeting of proteins to membranes. The eukaryotic SRP consists of a 300-nucleotide 7S RNA and six proteins: SRPs 72, 68, 54, 19, 14, and 9. The record is from Ensembl. NCBI's taxonomy places the organism in Eukaryota, Metazoa, Chordata, Mammalia, Primates, Cercopithecidae.